AUGGAAAGACAUGCAGUGGCUGUUCAUCACCUGAUAAUGGGGGAUGUAGCCAGCCCUGCACCCCUCUCAGCCCCGUAUCCUGGAAAUGUGGCUGCCUUCCUGGGUAUGACCUACAACUGGACAAAAAGAGCCAUAGACCUUCAGGCUAGUGCUGUGAACAUUCAAAAGUGCGUCUCUGGGAAAAGGUUAUGUGAAAAACACCAUUUAAUUUAGAAAGUAUUAAAUUGCUUUUGGCUUCUGCAUAGGCAGUUGAAUUUUUUUUUUUUUUUUGGAAAUUGAAAACAGAUCACUUAAGUAUAAAUAACAUAAGUUAUCAUUGUAUAAAUAAUAAUUGUGUGUUUGAGAAACAUUUUAAAGUUAGUUAACAUUAAGCAAAGAUUUGCUAUAAUGUCAAGUAUGGCAUUUCAGUAUAUAUGAAAGUCAUAACCAGAAUAAGAACAGUCUUAAAAUGCUUUAUAGUUAAGAGGCAUUUAAUAAAUAUUUGUUGAUUGAUAUGAUUUUCAUCUCUCCAGUAAAUGUAAUAAUCGUAAUACUUUGACAAGUUCUGUCCUUUCCAUGACAAAAUUAAAGUUGUGUGCUCCAGCUAUGUUUUCAUCUUCUAAUAUUACAUCCCUCGUGUCCUUCAAUAGCCUUGGAAACCCUGGAUUUAUCCCAAAUUGACAUAAUAUCUCCUGAGGUUCAUUAUGCCUGUAAUCUGGGGUAACGUAAGUGAUGAACCUGAAGAGCUUGCUUUACUCAGACUCCAAUAGUCUUAACUUCUCAGUAAUAUAGCUAAUGUGAGCUCUGAAAUUAUGAGGGAUCUUGUUAUUAACUCACACAGUGUUACCUCCAUUUGAAAAGCAUCCAGUCCAGAGAAGGGAAUUUAUUUGGACAUGAAUCAGUACAAUCUAAUAAUAUUAAUGUUUCAAUAUGUGUGACUCAGGAGAUUACAGCAUAAGACUUGCAUCAUUUAGCUGAGAUAUUUGUUACUUAAUACUGUGUCUUUCUAGAAGUAAUUUGCAUUUUAAAAGCAGAUACAUAGGGAGGAAUCC
This 1031-nucleotide long non-coding RNA is filed under the name Bos grunniens (domestic yak). Its description in RNAcentral is "lncRNA (ENSBGRG00000001964.1)". The record is from RNAcentral. Lineage: Eukaryota; Metazoa; Chordata; Mammalia; Artiodactyla; Bovidae.